GACGAACGCUGGCGGCGUGCUUAACACAUGCAAGUCGAGCGGUAAGGCUCCUUCGGGAGUACACGAGCGGCGAACGGGUGAGUAACACGUGAGCAAUCUGUCCUUCACACGGGGAUAACCCUCGGAAACGAGAGCUAAUACCCGAUACGACCACUUCAGGCAUCUGAUGGUGGUGGAAAGUUCCGGCGGUGAAGGAUGAGCUUGGGGCCUAUCAGCUUGUGGGUGGGGUAACGGCCCACCAAGGCAACGACGGGUAGCCGGCCUGAGAGGGUGACCGGCCACACUGGGACAGAGGCACGGCCCAGAGUCCAUCGGGAGACAGCAGUGGGGAAUAUUGGACAAUGGGCGAAGGCCUGAUCCAGCAACGCCGCGUGAGGGAUGACGGCCUUCGGGUUGUAAACCUCUUUCGGCAGGGACGAAGCGCAAGUGACGGUACCUGCAGAAGAAGCACCGGCCAACUACGUGCCAGCCGCCGCCGUAA
This 481-nucleotide ribosomal RNA is filed under the name uncultured bacterium. Its description in RNAcentral is "partial 16S ribosomal RNA". It matches the Rfam family "Bacterial small subunit ribosomal RNA", at positions 28 to 523 of the family's 1533-position model. The record is from RNAcentral.